RNAcentral lists this ribosomal RNA (176 nucleotides) under uncultured bacterium. RNAcentral's name for it is "partial 16S ribosomal RNA". It matches the Rfam family "Bacterial small subunit ribosomal RNA", at positions 337 to 526 of the family's 1533-position model. The record is from RNAcentral.
UCUUACGGGAGGCAGCAGUGGGGAAUUUUCCGCAAUGGGCGAAAGCCUGACGGAGCAAUACCGCGUGAGGGAAGACUGCCUAUGGGUUGUAAACCUCUUUUUUCAGGGAGGAAUAAAAUGACGUGUACCUGAAGAAUAAGCAUCGGCUAACUCCGUGCCAGCAGCCGCGGAAAUAA